CUCUUCUAUGGACCAGCAUGGUGGAGCUAUGCACUGGGGUCAUAGGUGCUAUUCCGGACCCAAUUGAGCUACCAGUAUGUUUUUGGACUGUGGAAGGAAACAUCAGGGAGAUAGGAAGGUGAAAAUCUGCAGAGUAAAUUCCUGCAUUGCAGCCUGGAAUGUCUUCAAGGGAUGCAGGUCCUGAGGAUGAAACCACUUCCGGUUUUAAUAACUUCAGUGAGCUAAGUAUUUGGAUUAGGACUAAUGAAAUUACUUGUGUUUUCAGCUCUCACCCAGAUGCCAAUUGAAAAGCCGCUGUAAAGCUCUUAAGACUGGAGCCCUGGAGAACUGGAGCUGCCCAUCACUGUUACAGAGAACUGAAGGUUGUUUAUGUGAGCAAACCCAAGAUUUUAACCACAACCCCAGGCGCAACACACACUAUCCGAUCCAUCCAUCCCAGAAAUGCACUACGCCUGCUGUGUCCACAAGACCUGUCUCCAUCUGUAGUAGAUUUGGGGGGAAUGCUAUUGAACGGCCAAUAGAAGUGACUUCAUGAUAACAGGUUUGUGUUACACUAUAACCCCGUAACCUUUGCAUUGGAUACACAGUCAACACAG
RNAcentral lists this long non-coding RNA (596 nucleotides) under Lepisosteus oculatus (spotted gar). RNAcentral describes it as "lncRNA (ENSLOCG00000021668.1)". Lineage: Eukaryota; Metazoa; Chordata; Actinopteri; Semionotiformes; Lepisosteidae. The record is from RNAcentral.